CCUACGGGGGGCAGCAGUGGGGAAUAUUGGACAAUGGGGGGAACCCUGAUCCAGCCAUGCCGCGUGUGUGAAGAAGGCCCUCGGGUUGUAAAGCACUUUCAGUGAGGAAGAACGCCUGGUGGUUAAUACCCAUCAGGAAAGACAUCACUCACAGAAGAAGCACCGGCUAACUCCGUGCCAGCAGCCGCGGUAAUACGGAGGGUGCGAGCGUUAAUCGGAAUUACUGGGCGUAAAGCGCGCGUAGGUGGCUUGAUAAGCCGGUUGUGAAAGCCCCGGGCUCAACCUGGGAACGGCAUCCGGAACUGUCAAGCUAGAGUGCAGGAGAGGAAGGUAGAAUUCCCGGUGUAGCGGUGAAAUGUGUAGAGAUCGGGAGGAAUACCAGUGGCGAAGGCGGCCUUCUGGACUGACACUGACACUGAGGUGCGAAAGCGUGGGUAGCAAACAGGAUUAGAUACCCUGGUAGUC
This 465-nucleotide ribosomal RNA is filed under the name Vreelandella stevensii. RNAcentral's name for it is "partial 16S ribosomal RNA". It matches the Rfam family "Bacterial small subunit ribosomal RNA", at positions 338 to 795 of the family's 1533-position model. Lineage: Bacteria; Pseudomonadati; Pseudomonadota; Gammaproteobacteria; Oceanospirillales; Halomonadaceae. The record is from RNAcentral.